RNAcentral lists this ribosomal RNA (245 nucleotides) under uncultured bacterium. RNAcentral's name for it is "partial 16S ribosomal RNA". It matches the Rfam family "Bacterial small subunit ribosomal RNA", at positions 524 to 768 of the family's 1533-position model. The record is from RNAcentral.
UACGUAGGCAGCAAGCGUUGUUCGGAGUUACUGGGCGUAAAGGGUGUGUAGGCGGCUCUCUAAGUUUGGUGUGAAAUCUCCCGGCUCAACUGGGAGGGUGCGCCGAAUACUGAAGGGCUAGAGUGCGGGAGAGGAGAGUGGAAUUCCUGGUGUAGCGGUGAAAUGCGUAGAUAUCAGGAGGAACACCGGUGGUGUAGACGGCUCUCUGGACCGUAACUGACGCUGAAACACGAAAGCGUGGGUAG